This 253-nucleotide ribosomal RNA is filed under the name uncultured bacterium. Its description in RNAcentral is "partial 16S ribosomal RNA". It matches the Rfam family "Bacterial small subunit ribosomal RNA", at positions 524 to 776 of the family's 1533-position model. The record is from RNAcentral.
AACGUAGGAGGCAAGCGUUAUCCGGAGUAACUGGGCGUAAAGGGCGGGUAGGUGGUUGUGUAAGUUGGUUAUGAAAGCUCCUGGCUAAACUGGGAGAGGUUGACCAAGACUGCAGAACUUGAGUGGAGAAGAGGUAAACGGAAUUCCGCGUGUAGUGGUGAAAUGCGUAGAGAUGCGGAAGAACACCAGUGGCGAAGGCGGUUUACUGGUCUCCAACUGACACUGAGCCGCGAAAGCUAGGGGAGCAAACGGG